RNAcentral lists this ribosomal RNA (922 nucleotides) under Neocatenulostroma microsporum. Its description in RNAcentral is "LSU rRNA". It matches the Rfam family "Eukaryotic large subunit ribosomal RNA", at positions 23 to 977 of the family's 3401-position model. Lineage: Eukaryota; Fungi; Ascomycota; Dothideomycetes; Mycosphaerellales; Teratosphaeriaceae. The record is from RNAcentral.
ACCCGCUGAACUUAAGCAUAUCAAUAAGCGGAGGAAAAGAAACCAACAGGGAUUGCCCUAGUAACGGCGAGUGAAGCGGCAACAGCUCAAAUUUGAAAUCUGGCGCAAGCCCGUGUUGUAAUUUGUAGAGGAUGCUUCUGGGCAGCGGCCGGUCUAAGUUCCUUGGAACAGGACGUCACAGAGGGUGAGAAUCCCGUAUGUGAUCGGUUGGCACCCGCUACGUAGCUCCUUCGACGAGUCGAGUUGUUUGGGAAUGCAGCUCUAAAUGGGAGGUAAAUGCCUUCUAAAGCUAAAUACCGGCCAGAGACCGAUAGCGCACAAGUAGAGUGAUCGAAAGAUGAAAAGCACUUUGGAAAGAGAGUUAAAAAGCACGUGAAAUUGUUGAAAGGGAAGCGCAUGCAACCAGACUUGUCCGCGGUGUUCCGCCGGUCUUCUGACCGGUCUACUCGCCGCGGGCAGGCCAGCAUCAUCUGGGAGCGCCGGAUAAAGGUAGCGGGAAUGUGGCCCCUCGGGGUGUUAUAGCUCGCUACACAAUACGGCGCCUCCCGGGUGAGGUCCGCGCUUCGGCUAGGAUGCUGGCGUAAUGGUUGUAUGCGGCCCGUCUUGAAACACGGACCAAGGAGUCUACCAUCUAUGCGAGUGUUCGGGUGUCAAACCCCUACGCGCAAUGAAAGUGAACGGAGGUGGGAACCGCAAGGUGCACCAUCGACCGAUCCUGAUGUCUUCGGAUGGAUUUGAGUAAGAGCAUAGCUGGUGGGACCCGAAAGAUGGUGAACUAUGCCUGAAUAGGGUGAAGCCAGAGGAAACUCUGGUGGAGGCUCGCAGCGGUUCUGACGUGCAAAUCGAUCGUCAAAUUUGGGUAUAGGGGCGAAAGACUAAUCGAACCAUCUAGUAGCUGGUUCCUGCCGAAGUUUCCCUCAGG